Molecule: ribosomal RNA, 253 nt
Filed under: uncultured bacterium
Lineage: Bacteria
Description: partial 16S ribosomal RNA
Rfam family: Bacterial small subunit ribosomal RNA
Source: RNAcentral
UACGUAGGGUGCAAGCGUUAAUCGGAAUUACUGGGCGUAAAGCGUGCGCAGGCGGUUUUGUAAGUCUGACGUGAAAUACCCGGGCUUAACCUGGGAAUUGCGUUGGAGACUGCAAGGCUGGAGUCUGGCAGAGGGGGGUAGAAUUCCACGUGUAGCAGUGAAAUGCGUAGAGAUGUGGAGGAACACCGAUGGCGAAGGCAGCCCCCUGGGUCAAGACUGACGCUCAUGCACGAAAGCGUGGGGAGCAAACAGG